RNAcentral lists this ribosomal RNA (256 nucleotides) under uncultured bacterium. RNAcentral's name for it is "partial 16S ribosomal RNA". It matches the Rfam family "Bacterial small subunit ribosomal RNA", at positions 98 to 354 of the family's 1533-position model. The record is from RNAcentral.
CGGGACGGGUGAGUAACGCGUGGGUAACCUGCCUCAUACAGGGGGAUAACAGUUAGAAAUGACUGCUAAUACCGCAUAAGCGCACAAAACCGCAUGGUUUGGUGUGAAAAACUGAGGUGGUAUGAGAUGGACCCGCGUCUGAUUAGCUAGUUGGAGAGGUAACGGCUCACCAAGGCAACGAUCAGUAGCCGACCUGAGAGGGUGACCGGCCACAUUGGGACUGAGACACGGCCCAGACUCCUACGGGAGGCAGCAG